Long non-coding RNA from Solanum tuberosum (potato), 2008 nucleotides. RefSeq lists it as uncharacterized. NCBI's taxonomy places the organism in Eukaryota, Viridiplantae, Streptophyta, Magnoliopsida, Solanales, Solanaceae. The record is from RefSeq and is a predicted model, not a curated record. The transcript has 8 exons.
CACUUGAGGCUGUACCAACACUGCUAUAUGCAGUUGUACUAAAAGUUGCAUAAAUUGUACAAUAAAGUUCGGCCUAUUUUUAGUUUAAUGCCACGUGUAUGUAUUUUAGUUCAAUGCCCUCCAAUUUUCCACGUUUUGACAGACACGUAAUAGCAUCUUACCUUUGUGGGAGACAGCUGGUUUUCACUUACAGUCCCCAAAUUUCUCGAGGCUUCUCUUCCUUAUCCUUCUCUCUCUUUUCUUCCGUCAAAUUAGUCUCCAAGAAGCUUCGUCGAAGAGUUGUUCGCAUUUUCCUUUUUUUCGUCUCUUUAGUUUUCUGAAAAUUUUGAACAAAUCGCACUUGUAGUCGCAAGAAAUUUUUCGAAAACUGAGUACCAAAUUUCAAGUUUCUGUCAGAAUUGUGCCGACCUCUACAACAAGAAUUGUUUCUUUUUCCUCUUGCGUGUUGUGAUAUUCUUUUGCCUUUUCAAGUUCUUUUCAUAUUUUCCAUUCUCUUUGCAGGUUUGCACUUGCAGCUAUGCAAAUUUUGCAGAUUGUUGACAAAGUUUGGUACUUGCGUGGUUCCUAACAACAUUCAAAGGAUGAUAGAACCAAACCCAGCAAGUUGACUUCCUUCUUGGGUUAUAAGGUUGGGAUGAAUCACAUUGCGAGAGGAUUUGAAAAAUCUGUAUCAAGUAAAAUCACUCUUUCAUCUAUAGCAUUUCAGUUCAGUAUUCACAUUUUCAACAUACAUAUAAUCAUUUAGACUCUGACUUCAGCAAAUUGUACGAAAUAUUAUCUAACUUAUACAAAAGAAGGCUAAAGGAGGAUGGGAGUAAAAGGACGAACACUGCAUCUUCUAAUUGUACUAAAGAUCUCAACUCUUCAAUGGCGAAUCCAUGUGUUGCUGAGUGUCUUCUCUUUGUGUAGACACUUUAAAUCUCUCUGUGAAGGUUUCCUCAAGAUUUUUGUUUGUUUGGGAUGCCUUGCCGAAAUAUUUCUUCAUGAUUUAAGCUAAAUCUACAUGUUUCUCAAUCUGGCUAAUAUGACCUAUUAUCUCUUUAAGGCUUAUUAUAUUCAUCAAGUCCCUGAUUCUAAUAUUCAAGGGUUGUUUUGGGUCCUUGUACUUCCUGUACUAUGCUUCAACACAAAAACACAAGAGCAGAAAACCCAACGUUGUUAAUGCAAGUUCCUCCAUUGUUAAUUUGCCCGGUGAGCUUUAUACUAUGAAAUUAAUGACUUUUGACGACCAACAAAUGGCAUUGGGUUGCGAGUACGUACACAUUUUUCUCCUCUUCUAAGGCUGAAUACAGAUCCAACAAAUGUAUUACCUGUUUUUUCUUGGAAGCAACAUUUAAAUAUAAACAUCAUCAACAAUGAAGAUGUGAAACUAAAAUUUGCUUACUCUUUUUUGGUGUUUAUGAAGGAGAAAGAACUCAACUUUACAUACAGCAACAUGCAAUUUUUUUCCCAAGGUGCAACUUGAACCAUUUCACUUUGUCUCCGCGAGUAUGAAAAUGAGAGUAUUCACAUGGUGUUCACUUUGUGACUUCACAACGCUCAUCAAAUUUACUUUUCCGAAUUGGUAAAGAGAGAGGUACAUGCUAAUGGAUGUAAAAUUAGCUGGCGAGCCUAACCAACAGUUCAAGACAUGUUGCAAUGGUUCGUAAAUCAUUUCAAGUUGUAUUGUCAUAAAUGCAUGUUGAACUGAAAGUGUAGGCAAUUUUCUAUCUCAAUAUAUGAUGUACUGCCAUGUUGCAUCGAUGUGGCUCUACAUCUGCGGAAAAAAAUCUCAUUUUUUGAGAUCAAAUCUGAAAUCAAUGAUUGUUAGAUUUUACUUGAAUCAUUGUUGGCAUAAGAAUGAGUUAGAUUUUGCUCUCCGAACUCUGGAUAAUAUAGGUUGUAAUAGGCAACUCAGUUGCAAUUCUCUUUCUACUUCUUUUCACGUAAAGAAAUUCGAUGUUUCAUUCAAUUAUGUACAAGCACAAGAUUUUUUUUCCUAAUGCUAACUUUAUGUUUAGUUUGCUUA